This 451-nucleotide ribosomal RNA is filed under the name uncultured bacterium. Its description in RNAcentral is "partial 16S ribosomal RNA". It matches the Rfam family "Bacterial small subunit ribosomal RNA", at positions 354 to 796 of the family's 1533-position model. The record is from RNAcentral.
GUGGGGAAUAUUGGACAAUGGGGGGAACCCUGAUCCAGCCAUGCCGCGUGUGUGAAGAAGGCCUUUUGGUUGUAAAGCACUUUAAGCGAGGAGGAGGCUACCGAGAUUAAUACUCUUGGAUAGUGGACGUUACUCGCAGAAUAAGCACCGGCUAACUCUGUGCCAGCAGCCGCGGUAAUACAGAGGGUGCAAGCGUUAAUCGGAUUUACUGGGCGUAAAGCGCGCGUAGGUGGCCAGUUAAGUCAAAUGUGAAAUCCCCGAGCUUAACUUGGGAAUUGCAUUGGAGACUGGUUGGCUAGAGUAUGGGAGAGGAUGGUAGAAUUCCAGGUGUAGCGGUGAAAUGCGUAGAGAUCUGGAGGAAUACCGAUGGCGAAGGCAGCCAUCUGGCCUAAUACUGACACUGAGGUGCGAAAGCAUGGGGAGCAAACAGGAUUAGAAACCCUUGUAGUCC